This 253-nucleotide ribosomal RNA is filed under the name uncultured bacterium. Its description in RNAcentral is "partial 16S ribosomal RNA". It matches the Rfam family "Bacterial small subunit ribosomal RNA", at positions 524 to 776 of the family's 1533-position model. The record is from RNAcentral.
UACGGAGGAUCCGAGCGUUAUCCGGAUUUAUUGGGUUUAAAGGGAGCGUAGGUGGAUUGUUAAGUCAGUUGUGAAAGUUUGCGGCUCAACCGUAAAAUUGCAGUUGAAACUGGCAGUCUUGAGUACAUUAGAGGUGGGCGGAAUUCGUGGUGUAGCGGUGAAAUGCUUAGAUAUCACGAAGAACUCCGAUUGCGAAGGCAGCUCACUGGACUGCAACUGACACUGAGGCUCGAAAGUGUGGGUAUCAAACAGG